RNAcentral lists this ribosomal RNA (449 nucleotides) under uncultured bacterium. RNAcentral describes it as "partial 16S ribosomal RNA". It matches the Rfam family "Bacterial small subunit ribosomal RNA", at positions 29 to 523 of the family's 1533-position model. The record is from RNAcentral.
AACGAACGCUGGCGGCAUGCCUAACACAUGCAAGUCGAACGAAGCCUUCGGGCUUAGUGGCGCACGGGUGCGUAACGCGUGGGAAUCUGCACUUUGGUUCGGAAUAACAGUUGGAAACGACUGCUACUACCGGAUGAUGACGAAAGUCCACAGAUUUAUAGCCAGAGGAUGAGCCCGCGUAGGAUUAGCAAGGUGGUGUGGUAAAGGCGCACCAAGGCGACGAACCUUAGCUGGUCUGAGAGGAUGAUCAGCCACACUGGGACUGAGACACGGCGCAGACUCCUACGGGCGGCAGCAUUGGUGACUAUUGAUCACUGGGCGAAAGCCUUAUCCGGCAAUGCCGCGUGAGUGAUGAAGGCCCUAGGGUUGUAAAGCUCUUUUACCCGGGAUGAUUUUGACGGUACCGGGACAAUAAGCCCCGGCUAACUCCGUGCCAGCCGCCGCAGUUA